RNAcentral lists this ribosomal RNA (492 nucleotides) under uncultured bacterium. Its description in RNAcentral is "partial 16S ribosomal RNA". It matches the Rfam family "Bacterial small subunit ribosomal RNA", at positions 29 to 507 of the family's 1533-position model. The record is from RNAcentral.
AGUGAACGCUGGCGGUAGGCCUAACACAUGCAAGUCGAACGGCAGCACAGUAAGAGCUUGCUCUUACGGGUGGCGAGUGGCGGACGGGUGAGGAAUACAUCGGAAUCUACUUUUUCGUGGGGGAUAACGUAGGGAAACUUACGCUAAUACCGCAUACGACCUACGGGUGAAAGCAGGGGAUCUUCGGACCUUGCGCGAUUGAAUGAGCCGAUGUCGGAUUAGCUAGUUGGCGGGGUAAAGGCCCACCAAGGCGACGAUCCGUAGCUGGUCUGAGAGGAUGAUCAGACACACUGGAACUGAGACACUGUCCAGACUCCUACGGGAGGCAGCAGUGGGGAAUAUUGGACAAUGGGCGCAAGCCUGAUCCAGCCAUACCGCGUGGGUGAAGAAGGCCUUCGGGUUGUAAAGCCCUUUUGUUGGGAAAGAAAAGCAGCAGGUUAAUACCCCGCUGUUCUGACGGUACCUAAAGAAUAAGCACCGGCUAACUUCGUG